CGGGGUGAGUACAACAUAGGAAAUCUGCCUUAGGGUGGGGGACAACAGAGGGGAAACUUCUGCUAAUACCCCAUAUGAGCUUGGUUGAAAUACCAAUCUUGAAAGUUCCGGCGCCCUAAGAUGAGCCUGUGCCUGAUUAGCUAGUUGGUGGUGUAAUGGACUACCAAGGCGACGAUCAGUAGCUGGUUUGAGAGGAUGAUCAGCCACAAUGGGACUGAGACACGGCCCAUACUCCUACGGAAGGCAGCAG
This 250-nucleotide ribosomal RNA is filed under the name uncultured bacterium. RNAcentral describes it as "partial 16S ribosomal RNA". It matches the Rfam family "Bacterial small subunit ribosomal RNA", at positions 100 to 354 of the family's 1533-position model. The record is from RNAcentral.